UAACGUGCUACAUAUCUUUCACAGUUCAUUUUUGUAAAAUAUGUUUCCACAACUCACUACCCAAACCAAUGGCUCUAAACUAUCUUGUUGUACUAGCUAAUACUCUUUAGUGCCAGGUUAAGAAGACAAUAAAGAGUACCUAGACACGCAGCUUAAAUAUAUCUUGUGUACAAUUUUAAGUCAUGCUGUUGCAACCUUCUCAGGAGCCUGAUUAUUUUACAUAACAAUCACGCGCGUUGCGAAAACAUAACGCAAAAUUACUUUCCG
This 267-nucleotide long non-coding RNA is filed under the name Ananas comosus (pineapple). Its description in RNAcentral is "long non-coding RNA (ACOM_LNC027238)". The record is from RNAcentral. Lineage: Eukaryota; Viridiplantae; Streptophyta; Magnoliopsida; Poales; Bromeliaceae.